AGGCAGCAUUGGGGAAUAUUGGACAAUGGGCGCAAGCCUGAUCCAGCCAUACCGCGUGGGUGAAGAAGGCCUUCGGGUUGUAAAGCCCUUUUGUUGGGAAAGAAAAGCAGCCAGUUAAUACCUGGUUGUUCUGACGGUACCCAAAGAAUAAGCACCGGCUAACUUCGUGCCAGCAGCCGCGGUAAUACGAAGGGUGCAAGCGUUACUCGGAAUUACUGGGCGUAAAGCGUGCGUAGGUGGUUGUUUAAGUCUGUUGUGAAAGCCCUGGGCUCAACCUGGGGAAUUGCAGUGGAUACUGGGCGACUAGAGUGUGGUAGAGGGUAGUGGAAUUCCUGGUGUAGCAGUGAAAUGCGUAGAGAUCAGGAGGAACAUCCAUGGCGAAGGCAGCUACCUGGACCAACACUGACACUGAGGCACGAAAGCGUGGGGAACAAACAGGAUUAGAUACCCUGGUAG
This 456-nucleotide ribosomal RNA is filed under the name uncultured bacterium. RNAcentral describes it as "bacterial SSU rRNA". It matches the Rfam family "Bacterial small subunit ribosomal RNA", at positions 346 to 793 of the family's 1533-position model. The record is from RNAcentral.